This 117-nucleotide small nuclear RNA is filed under the name Salvator merianae (Argentine black and white tegu). The record is from RNAcentral. Lineage: Eukaryota; Metazoa; Chordata; Lepidosauria; Squamata; Teiidae.
GUGCUCGCUUCGGCAGCACAUAUUCUAAAAUUGGAAAGAUACAAAGAAUGGUUGGAACUAUUAGCACGGCCACUGUGCAAGGGUGAUAUGCAAAUUCAUGAAGCAUUCCAUUCCAUU